Molecule: long non-coding RNA, 6608 nt
Filed under: Homo sapiens (human)
Lineage: Eukaryota; Metazoa; Chordata; Mammalia; Primates; Hominidae
Description: HSALNT0160947
Source: RNAcentral
UAUUUCCACACUAAUUGCAAUUUCUGGUCGGCUUCAGUUCAGACUCAGCCUUGCGCGCCUGGAAGUCAUUCCUGGCGGGCUUCCUCCACCUUCUUUUUCUUGGCCAGACGUGGCCAGUCAUAAACUGACAGGGAAAAACAGCUCUCCAAAUGAUUUUGGUGUCUUGUCUAGGGUUAUUAUUGAGCUUGGGACAAAUCCCAAACCGGCCUCUGCUGCUGCAGAUGCCGACCUGAACUAGCUCCUCUCCACUUUAACUUCACCUUCAUCCUGGUUUGCUGAUUACAGAUGAAUUCAUUUUUCAUCGGACUCUCCAGGCUGCCCCACAAACGAACACCUACAUGAAGGCCAGAGCCAGGCUGGGUUUGUCAGGCAGUCAGGCCCUGUGGGAACUGGAGGCCUCUCCUCCAGGACUGGACUCACCCUCCCAUCUGAAAGGCCCUUUAUUCUAGGACUUAAUGAGGCAAAAGCAGUUAAGUGCAUGGCUAUGGAACCCACCAGAUGUGAAUGGAGAAUGGGGAAUUUGCAGGGUGGAGAAGAGUUCAAGGGAUGAAAAGAAGGAAUUCUGGACAGACUAAGCAUGGAUGUGGGAAUAACACGCCACGUCACGUCUAUUGACAGACGGGUUUCCCUCAAGCUGCACUCCAUGCUUCUCAUGGCAGAGGCAGGGAGUUUGUGUUUUUAGGACUUUAGCGUGAAACUGAGAAUCAUCUUGUGUUUCGAGCAUAGAGAUAACGAUGAAAGAACACAAAGAAAUGAUAAAUGCUUGAGGUGAUGGAUACCCUGUUUACCCUAAUGUGAUUAUUACACAUUGUGUGCCUGUAUCAAAAUAUCUCAUGUACCCCAUAAAUAGAUACACCUACUACGGACCAUAAAAAUUAAUUUUUAAAAAGAAAUACUGAUGAAAGCACAGAUUUUUUUAAGGAUGGGAAUGGGAGAAGUUUCAGUGUAUGUCAAGGCUCACAAACCUUAUCUGAAAGAGACCGCCGAGGCAUGUGUGUUCCUGUCCUUCCCUACCCCUUCCUAUCCCUGAGCCACACCUCUGGCCUUCCAUGAAAUUCAAGAUUGCAAAAUCAUUGAAUUCCAAACGGGUCCAUUUUCUGCUGGGUGCGAUUGGUAGUUGGUCUGUAUGAUGACAGCUAAAGGAAAAAAUGCAAUUAUUCAAAAUUAUGAGGAAAUCCAGGCACUGUGGCUCAUGCCCGUAAUCCCAGCUACUCUGGUGGCUGAGGCAGGAGAAUUGCUUGAGGCCAGAAGUUCAAGACUAGCCUGGCCAACAUAGGAGACCCUGUCUCUAAAUAAAAAUAAAUUUAAAAAUAAAAAAUAAAAUAAUGAAGGAAAAAAUGGUUGGAAAACAAAGGAUGCAGACCAACUCACUUCAUGCCAUGUUCCUUCUUAAGGUGAGAGACAGGUCCUAGAUGAGAAGAAUUUUAUUCACAUAAGACUGACCACUACACUAUAAUAAAAGAGUUAAUUUUUAUGUUCAGUUUUUUAUUCUCUCAGUUGCCAGAGAUGGGGGGAAAUCACAUUAAGUGCUGGCAGCCAGGUUUUGUCAUGAGAACAAGGCAUCGAAGGGCGAAGUCCGUGAAUGAUCUUGGGAAAUGUGUGUCACCCUGACCUUUAGAGACGACUGCAUCCUGAUUGGCUGCCUAUGCCGCCCUCUCCCCGGGAGUCGGGAGGGUUGUAAAUACAGAAGAAAUGGAAAGGCAGGUAAUCAAACAAGGCCGCCGCAGUACGCGGCGCUGGGAAGGGGAAGGGGGGCGCUUCGGGCUUGAAUAGGGUCCUCCGGGUGGGCUGGACCGUAAUCCCCAGUGGAGUGCGCAGGCUUGCGGAAGCACGGGAGGGAGUGCGGAGAGCACAGGAGGGCCCACGUGUGCCCCGUGGGCGUCGUCCGAGUCCCCCCGCCCCCCCCGCCCCACACACCGCAGGACAGGUAGGGGCGGGGGUGGGUGUGCCGGAGGGGUGGGCGUGCUGGGGGGCUGGGCAUGCUAGGGGGAAAGGGGUCUGGGCAUCCCAGGGGCGGGGGCUCUAGGCGAGGCCCCCAAGGAAGGAAGCCCCUCCCCCGCACCCCUGCUGAGUGCGCGUCCAGGUGGAUUUGGGGAGCAGGUGGCGCGGAUGUCUCCGCCGCCGUCCAGGUGGGCGACUAAGAGUCCUCACCCAGGAAACGGCGUUUCUGCUCCACGGGAGACCAUCCCGAGCGCCGCCUCGGGUCCGGACAGGCCCCGCAGGUCUCGUCCCCCUAGGCCUCUGUAGUGUGACCAGGAGAACGGAUUCUCCUCGGGCGAUCUCCAUCCAGGUCCUGGGGCCGGCAGCCGCGGCAGGGGAACCUCCUGCGCUCGGGAGGAAGCACAGAUUCCAGAGGAGCAGUAAAAUGGCAAAUCAUGCCAAGCUUCGGGGUGGAGCUGAGGGGGCCCUGACUCCGCCUCGCAGCCCGGGCUUCGGGGUGGGGCGCCUAAUUAGUGUUUGCGCAUUGGCGGCCGGCCGGCUCGGUAACCACGGCGACCGCGCGGCCCCGCCCAGCCCCGGCCCAGUAUCCCCGCCCCCCGCAUUCCCCAUUGGCCGCUGGCGCUUCCCAGCCUACCAAUCACCGACCGCAUCUCCUUACAAAGGGUAGAAAGACACCGCCUGGCAGAAGCCACGCCUCGCACCAGGAAGCCCGGCUGACGGCUUAAUUGAGAUUAACAUAAACUCCAAUCAGAGAGGAAAACGCGGACAGGAUUACCUAAUCGUAUAUGCUUAAGGGAGUACCACGAGAGCGCGAGCAGCCUCGGCAGGGCAGAACAGGCCCUCGGCAGGUUCUUCAUCCUGGAUGAAUCAGGCCCAGAGACGCCAGGCGACUUGAGCAAGGCCACUCAGCUGUCAAGAGCCCGGGUAGAAAUCAGUGCCCUUUCUGCUACACCAUUCUGAACGGCUCCAGCCACCUGCUUGCCUCAAGGAUCCCAGUUUGCUCUGUCUUCCCUUUCUCUUCUUCCUUCUCCUCUUACAAUGUUCAAUAAUAAUUGGCAAUGUACAAAUCAGACUCUCAGGACUUCAGAGGCAAGGACCAGGCUGAAUUUUUCUGAUCCUAGCAAAGGUGGAUUCCUUGAAGAAAGCUGCCUUUCAAUCUAAAGUUCUGAAGGAUUCCAGUGAUUUUGCAACCUGCAGGCUUUGGCUUGGAAGGACUUACAGCCGAUUUCACAAACUUUCAAAGCCUUAAGGAGCAGUGAUGGAGCAUUGGUCAGCAGUUUCGUGAAUGACGCUACAUUCUCUUAUUUUCCAAAUGACCUAACCCCACAGCACAGAAUCUGCUGGAUUUGGUGUCUGUAAAGACUUACCAGCCAGGCACAGUGCCUCAUUCCUGUAAUCCCAGCACUUUGGGAGGCCAAGGAGGGAGGACCACUGGAGGCCUGGAGUUCAAGAGCAGCCUGGGCAAGAUAAUGAGACCCUAUCUCUACAAAAAAAUUAAAAACUAUCCAAGUGUGGUGGUGCAUGCCUGUAGCCCCAGCUACUUCAGAGGCUGAGGCAAGAAGAUUACUUGAACCCGGGAGUUUGAGGCUGCAGUGAGCUAUAAUCACAGCACUGCACUGCAGCCUGGGCCACAGAGUUGAGACCCUAUCUAUCAGGAAGGAAGGAAGGAAGGAAGGAAAGAAGGAAGGAAGGAAGGAGGGAGGGAGGGAAGGAGGGAGGAAGAAAGGAAUGAAGGAAGAGGACUUCCAUCCAAGGAUAGAUUUCCUCAUUUUACGAAGUCCACCUCAUUCCCUUUACCUCUUUCUUGGGCAACCUCCUCUACCCUAGCAUCAAGCAUUUAUCAGAUUCCUAUAAUUUCAUCAAAUGCAGGCACUUAUCAGGUUUACAAAAAAUAGUCUAUCUUGGAGAGCUUCCAAUGUGAUGUUGAGGCAGAGCAACUGUGUUUAAGGGCAACUCAAGACUAGCCCACCUGAAAGGUUCCCACACCCAAACUAACCUGCAGGUACAAAUGAAGUCACAUCAGUUAUGAAUACCCAGGUUUUGAUGACUCACAGCCCCCACCAACAAAACUGCAGGACCUUGAGGGCCUCCCACCCUGCAGUGGGCUCAGGGGCUCACUCCCUUGUGCUAAUAGAGUCUUUCUCUGCAGCUACCUGUGGUCCAGGGCCUGAAAAACCACUUAGAGUCAUCACUUCCCCAUUGCCUGUAAUCCCAGCACCACUUUGGGAGGCCAAGGAGAGAGGAUCCUGAGCAGCUGGGGCAACAGGCAUGCACUACCACACUUGGAUAAUUUUUAAUGAUUUAGUAAAGAGGUGGUCUCGCUAUCUUGCCCAGCCUAUGAAUGCUGCCCUAUUGCUUCAUUGCACCGCUCCUUAAAGAAAGUUUGUGAAAUCAGAUCUGAGUCCUUCCGAGUCAAAGCCUGCAGGUUGCAAAAUCACUGGAAUCCUUCAGAACUUUAGAUUGUGGCCAUAUGAAAGGCAGCUUUCUUCAAGGAGAGGUGGGGUAGCGGAGUAGUCACUUAUGCCUUGGUCUGGCUGGGUGAAUCUGCAUUUUUACACAAACAAUAGGGCAGAGGAAGCAAUCAGAUGUGCAUUUGUUUCAGAUGAGCCGAGGGAUGACUUUGAGUUCUGUCCUUUGUCCUGCACCUGUGAAGAUAAGCUAUCAAUUUACAUUGCCAGAGUGAAAUUCAACAGAACUGUUUUAGUGUAAAGAUCUUGAGGCCCACAAGGAACUUCCUAGUAGGCAAAUUGUGAGGGAGAUAUGAAGAUUUUUAAAAAUCUUUGUAACUGUCUUAUUUAGGAAUAGAAUGAGAGGCAGGUGUGCCUGAUGCAGUUCCCAGCUUGAUUUUUCCCUUUGGCUUAGUGAUUUGGGGGUCCUGAGAUUUAUUUGCCUUUCACAUUGGCAUGAGGAGAAAAAAAUCUAUUGAAUUGUCUUGAGUAGGCAUCCCUCUUCUGGACUUUAAUUUGUGCAGGAGGGGACACUGGUAUUGGUUAUCCCACCCAGCCAAGCUUGGGGUAUAAUUGAUUUUUGGUCUUUGGGUUUCUAAAUCAGUCUUAUGACCUCAUUAAAAAAUGAAUGAGGGCCAGGUGCAGUGGCUCAUGCCUGUAAUCCUAGCACUUUGGGAGGCCAAGAUGGAUGGAUCGUUUGAGGUCAGGAGUUCAAGACCAGCCUGGCCAACAUGGCGAAACCCUGUCUCUACUGAAAAAAUAUAAAAAUUAGCUGGGCAUCAUGGCACAUGCCUGUAAUCCCAGCUACUCAGGAGGCUGAGGCAGGAGAAUCACUUGAACCCAAGAGGUAGAGGCUACAGUGAGCCCAGAUUACGCCGCUGUACUCCAGCCUAGGUGACAGAGCAAGACCUUGCCUCAAAAAGAAAAAACAAAAGACAAAACAAACAAACAAAGAAACAAACUGAAUGAGUCCCCCCAGAACCUCUGGGCAGGUGAAAAAAAAAAUUAGUUUUUAGACCUACAAACUUAUGAAUCAGAUUCUGACCAAAUUCCUGCCUAUGAGGUCCUACAAGCAGUAGGUCAGAGUCUUCCCAAACCCCUCUGAGCCAUAGCCAGCCAUAUGCAUCAAAUGGUUUUCAUGUUUGUUGAAUGAACACAUGGAUGAAUGAAUGAGCAAAUGAAAAAACAGAUUACUGGCUGGUUGGCUAGUUGAAUAGAUGAACAGAAGGAUGAAAAGAACCAUUUGAUAUAAUACUUGUCCCCUGAAAAUCUCAAGCUGAAAUGUGAUCCCCAGUGUUGGCAGUAGGGCCUGGUGGGUGGUGUUUGGGUCAUGGGGACAGACUCCUUAUGAAUGGCUUGGUGGCCUCCCUGUCGUAAUGAGUGAGUUCUUGCUCUAUUUGUUCACACAAGAGCUGGUUGUUUAAAAAUGCCUGGCCAAACAUUGUUGGUGGGAGUGUAAAUUAGUUCAACCAUCGUGGAAGACAGUGUGGUGAUUCCUCAAGGAUCUAGAACUAGAAAUACUAUUUGAUCCAGCAAUCCAAUUACUGGGUAUAUACCCAAAGGAUUAUAAAUCAUUCUGCUAUAAAGACACAUGCACACAUAUGUUUAUUGCAGCACUAUUUACAGUAGCAAAGACUUGGAACCAACCCAAAUGCCCAUCAAUAACAGACUGGAUAAAGAAAAUGUAGCACAUAUACACCAUGGAAUACUAUGCAGCCAUAAAAAAGAAUGAGUUCAUGUCCUUUGCAGGGACAUGGAUGAAGCUGGAAGCCAUCAUUCUCAGCAAACUAACACAGGAACAGAAAACCAAACACUGCAUGUUCUCACUCAUAAAUGGGAGUUGAACAAUGAGAACACAUGGACACAGGGAGGGGAGUUGUGGCCUGUUGUAGGGUGGGGGGCAAGGGGAGGGAGAGCAUUAGGACAAAUACCUAAUGCAUGUGGGCUUAAAACCUAGGUGAUGGGUUGAUAGGUGCAGCAAACCACCAUGGCACAUGUAUACCUAUGUAACAAACCUGCAUGUUCCGCACAUGUAUCCCAGAACUUAAAGUAAAUUAAAAAAAAAUGCCUGGCAGUGUCUCUUGCUCCCUUUCACACCAUGUGGCACACCUGCUCCCCUUCCCCUUCUGCCAUGAGUAAAAACUUCCUGAGGCCUCACUAGAGGCCAAGCAGAUGCUGGAGCCAUGCUUGUACAGUCUGCAGAACUGUGAGCCAAAUAAA